This 382-nucleotide unclassified non-coding RNA is filed under the name Hevea brasiliensis (rubber tree). Lineage: Eukaryota; Viridiplantae; Streptophyta; Magnoliopsida; Malpighiales; Euphorbiaceae. The record is from RNAcentral.
AAAAUUUUAUUAACGCACAUUCAAGUUUUAUAAAUAUAUUUUUUUAAAAGAAAAAAAAAGGUUAUUACAUUCUUUCCCUCUUAUGAAAAUUUGUUCCCAAAUUUUAAACAAACAGGGAAUAAAGAAAAGAAGAUUAUUGGAAUGAGUGCGAGCACUUAUUCUUCGAACUCUUUUAUGCUAUAGAAGAUGUUCUACCGCUCUCUGACUAUGCUGUAAUGUUGUAGUUAUCAUCAUCCUUUCGUAAUGAAACUCUUACCUUUAUUACUUGUUGACCUUUUUCUGACAUCUCUGGUACCUUCCAUGCUUUCUCUGAACUUUAAAAUAGUAACUUGUAAUACUAGUCUUUGUUUCCUUUUAUUGCUACUCUGCAUCACAAAGAUGU